AGAAUUCAACUUUAUAUACAACUAAUAUAGUACGAAGGUGUAGAUUAAAAAUUACACCACUCCAGGACCUUUUGUUUUCCACGUAAUUAAUAUCGCCAAUAAUUAGGAAGUCCGGGUCGAGUCCGAUACCGAUACCAAAAGUAUAAUCACUUGUUACCUAUUACCUUAUCUGUACGUUCCGCAUCUGACAGGCGCACCACCAAACGGUGUAUUCAGGAUUAAUAUGCUAUAUAAACGGGUCAUAAUCACAGGGUUGACACUACUAAAUUGUCAAAUUAUUACCUAUUGUAGUAUUUUAAUCCGUAAGACUUUCUAAGAUAACAAUACGAAUACUAAAAAUCUGGACUAAAAAUAAGUUUCAAUUUGUUAGCGGGCAUG
Molecule: long non-coding RNA, 378 nt
Filed under: Mytilus galloprovincialis (Mediterranean mussel)
Lineage: Eukaryota; Metazoa; Mollusca; Bivalvia; Mytilida; Mytilidae
Source: RNAcentral